GACGAACGCUGGCGGCGUGCCUAAUACAUGCAAGUUGAACGCUGACGGAUGGUACUUGUGCCAACUGGAUGAGCGGCGAGCGGGUGAGUAACGCGUGGGGAAUCUGCUUUUGAGUCGGGGACAACAUCUGGAAACGACUGCUAAUAACACCUAAUACCUUUUAACACAGGAUUCAAGUUUGAAUGAUGCCAUUGCCGCACUCAUAGAUGGAUCCGCGUUGUAUUAGUUAGUUGGGGAGGUAAAGGCUCACCCAGGGGAUGAUACAUAGCCUGCCUGAGGAGGAUGACCGCCCCAUUGGGAACGAGAACCGGGCCAAACUUCUAAGGGAGGCAGCAGUAGGGGAACUUCGGAAAAGGUCGAAAGUCUGACCGAGCAACGCCGCGGGAGUGAAGAAAGGUCUCGGAUCGGAAAACUCUGUUUGUAGAGAAAAACGUUGGUGAGGGUGGAAAGCUCAUCAAGUGACGGUAACUACCCAGAAAGGGACGGCUAACUACGUG
Molecule: ribosomal RNA, 497 nt
Filed under: uncultured bacterium
Lineage: Bacteria
Description: partial 16S ribosomal RNA
Rfam family: Bacterial small subunit ribosomal RNA
Source: RNAcentral